UGGAUAGAUUAUUGUAUUCGACUGUAUUCACGACGUGAAAUAGGGGAUAACACUGUUUUUAAAACGGAAAGUGAAUCAAUUAACAUAAUAGACUCCU
This 97-nucleotide microRNA precursor is filed under the name Nicotiana sylvestris (wood tobacco). Its description in RNAcentral is "MIR6152 microRNA precursor family". It matches the Rfam family "MIR6152 microRNA precursor family". Lineage: Eukaryota; Viridiplantae; Streptophyta; Magnoliopsida; Solanales; Solanaceae. The record is from Rfam by way of RNAcentral.